Molecule: long non-coding RNA, 227 nt
Filed under: Brachypodium distachyon (stiff brome)
Lineage: Eukaryota; Viridiplantae; Streptophyta; Magnoliopsida; Poales; Poaceae
Description: long non-coding RNA (BDIS_LNC004154)
Source: RNAcentral
CCUGUUUGAUAGAUCUUUGGGUUCUAGCUAGGGUUUGCCUGUCAUAUCUUAUACAAUUUCUUCUGUGUGGAAAAGUUUUGGGGCAAAGCAUACUUUGUUGGAUGGAGUGUGGAUGGAGAAUACACGUUGCUCCUUUUCCCUGUCAUUUUCAACCAAAUCCAAUCAUAGUUAGAUAAAUAAACGUGGCCCGAAAUGCCACUAAGUAAUUAUCCAAAUGCAAGCAACUA